This is a long non-coding RNA of Esox lucius (northern pike), 262 nucleotides long. Lineage: Eukaryota; Metazoa; Chordata; Actinopteri; Esociformes; Esocidae. The record is from Ensembl.
GUGUUGUUAGAGGGGUUCCACAAUGCUGUAAUUCCAGGAUACCUUCUUAAAACAUUGUCAGCGUCUGUAGAUUCUUGUAGAUUCCAGUACAAGCUAAUAACCAGGGUAGGUUGGUGCUCAUGAGAGCAGUUCCUGAACCAUGUGAUGAAUACACCAGUGGAUGUUCUGCAGUCACAGUACAGAGUGAUGUUGUCUCCUGGUUUGACUAACAGAACCACCUCAGAUCCAGAGAUCCCAUCCUGACUGGAGGAAACAGCCCCUA